CUAGCCCCCUCUCUUCUCUCCCACUCCUCCUAUGCCGCCGUCGCCGCCCCUCUCCAUGGCGGCACCACCGCCUGCCGCCGUCCAAAACACCCAAAACUUCACCCAAUCUCACUCUCUUCACCCUCUACCUGAAUCCAAACUCCAUAUCUCUCAAAUCUCUCUCAAUCCUCUCAAGUCUACCCCAAAACCGAACCCUAGCCGCCGCCUAUUUUCCCGAAUUAGAAGAACUCCGGCCAUCCCUGCACUUUAAUUCUUUCAUCACCGGAUAGAUGUCUUAAAGAUCUAUCAAUCCCCCCUUGGUUUCACGGCCAAACUCCGGCGACCGUCACUGCCAUACCACCAUUACUACUUGAAAUUGCCUUCUUUUUGAGCCAUUAAGCUUGAGACGCUGUGCGCUCUUCAAUGCGUUGGUUAAUUUUUGUUACAUCGAUUGGAGAUGGCACAACAUCCCAAGUUUGGUGGCUGCCCGUUUGUUAUUCCGGCAAGGCGAUUGAUUCUCCAAGACUCGUGUAUUCGGUAAACCCUAUCUCUUUUUUUCUUUUUCUGAUUUUUUGAUUUUGUAAGUUGUAUCAGGUUUAAUGCUUAAUUUUUUAUUCAUGUUUCUGUUAGUUAUGUGUAAAUGAAUGAUGAUCAUAUAAGUUUUGAAUUACCUAUUAGUUCAUAACUUUGAAUAAUAUUUUAGCUUAGGUUUUGUUAAAUUCUGUUUUCACAAUAGUUGUGAUUGUAGUCGUUCACUAUUUUUAGUUUACUUGAAUCAGUUUAUAUCAAUCUAGUUUGUUUGAGUGUUGCUUUAUCAAUCCAUAAUUGGUUGAGUUUGAAGGUUUGAGUUUUGAAUUCAGUUAUUUAUUGAUAAAGUCAGAGGGUACUUGAGUGCAGGACCCAUGUUUGAUUGCUUUUACUAUUUUAAUAGCUAUUUUGAGUACACUGUUCCAAACACUCUACACAGUUGGUAAAGAAACUGUCCUUUAGACAUAUUUUUGACCAAAAAUCUGUCUAUUGAACUGUUGGGACAGAUUUUUUGUGGAAAAUCUAUCCUUUGGAUAGGUUGGCAAUAAUAAUUGAAUGCCACCCUCUCCUAUAAAAGGAGUUCUUUUUUCAAUUGGGCAUAUUUUUCAGACACUCUAACACACUUAGCCAUCACCUUCUACACACUAAAAAGGCGCAAAAACUUCAGAAAAGAUCAACUGAACAUACAAAAUAGUAAGCAAAUACAAAAUAAUAAGCUGAAAAUUCUGAACUUCGUGAGUGUUUCCUAGAGUGUUAAACUUGUAAGCAAAUAGAGGAAUCCUAGGUGAUUGCUGGAGAAGUAGCAACUGGUUUCAAAUACUUUCUUGCUGGAUUUUUCUGGGUUGUUUCUCGGAUCAUAAGUUGUUGAUUUUGCUGUUGUUGCAUUGCUGUUUGUUGCUGAAAUUUAGUUCCUCCCUUGCUGAUAUUUUCUUCUUGCUAUCAAGGUAAUUCUCUUAUAGUGCUACUGUAAUUUUGAGUCAAGAAUGAAUGGAGACCAAGCAAUUUGAGUUCUCUUCAGUUUAUUCUAAGCUUUUAAAAGCACUCUGUUUGUAAGGAUUUGUGUGUGAGCAUAUAUAAUAAAUAGUUGCUUUGUUAUUGUGACUCACUGUCACCUUUAUUUAUUUUUUAUUUUUUUGUGAAAAAUCGCCAAUGAAACAGCAAUGUACUGAUAUAGGUUCAAAUGUUUAAGUUGCUGUGUCUCAGUUUUUAAUAUCAUAAAUUUCAGUUAAAUGUAAAGAUAUUUCCAUGACAAAACAACAUGUUAACUUGCCUUUUCUUUCCUUGGUUUUAAACAUGGAGUAAAUAUUGUAGGUAUCAAUCAGUUUUUCUUUGUGGUUACACCACAAAUAAAAUCUGUGGUGUAGUUAUAAGAAAGUAUUUUAUAUUUCUUUGUCUCAGCCCGUAGUUGAACUUAAAUUAGGUCCUCAGCUUUAUUGGUUUUGAAAAAGUUUCUAUUUUCAUGUAGAGCAGUUUUGAUAAUGAAAUGACAUAUAGAUUCAUGUUACUCGUUUCAAGAGAACGGGAAUCCAUGGUCAUACAUCCAGCAAAUAAAAGUAUUUUCUUUUUGGGUUGAUGUUUUAAAUUAAUUGAAAUAUUGUUCCACUAAAGUAAAGUAAAACUGAAUCUCAUGUUUGGGUCUCUAUUUAAACGUUAUUUAGCUGGCCAAAAUUAAGCUUCGGAGAAUAAAAUUUGUUGUUAUGAUGACGGUCCGUUCUUCAAGUGCAAUUCUUAAGAGUAGAGUAAGUUUUCUUAUUUAAAUAAUGUUUUUUUCAUUUCCUUAUGGUUCAAUCAUUAGCAUUAAAUGAUGUUCUUGAACAAAAGUUCAUUUGAUUUGGUUGAUUUUUAAAAAAAUAAUAAUAUUAAAGCCUCAAAAGGCGAUCGUUUCAUGGCAGUAAGUCAAUUGGUCUGGGUUUAAUAAUUUAGUAAAAAUAAAGGCGAUAAAUAAAGUCCAAUAAUAUUCGUAUGUUGUCCUACCACCUUUAUUUUAUAAAGAGGCAUUUUCUUUUCAUAAUAAUGAUGAACAAUUAUUUUAUCAUAAUUUAACCCCUAUAGUAAUUUGUCUUAACUAAGGUAAAUAGUUUCGUCUUAAUUGAUGUCGGGAAGACUCGCUUCAGAAUAAAAACAUAAAUAAAUGGCAAGAUCGUGAGGUCGUCUUGUUCCAAUUCUUUCAAAUAAAUAAAAGUUUUGUUAUUUAAUUAACUUCGAGUAAACUCUAAUUUUGGAUACAACGCACGAACUAAGGUUGAGGAAACUCGUCUUGGUUAGUGUAAGGUAGGGUCGGAGGUACUCGUCUUAGUUUGAGAUUAAUAAAGUCAUCAACAAUAAAAGUGGGCAUAGGCAAACAUAAAAAUUAAAUAAAGCACAGUUUAUCCAAAAUUAAUUCAAUCCGAUUUUAGUCAAUAAAAGCGACCGUGCUAGAACCACGGGACUCGGGGAAUGCCUUACAUCUUCUCCCAGGUCAACAAAAUUCCUUACCCGGACUUUAUUUUCGCAGACCAAUAAUAAUAGAGUCAAACCUUCUUUUGACUAGGGAUUCAAACAAAAGGUGACUUGGAACGCACAAAAAUCAAUUCCAAGUGGCGACUCUGAACAAUAAAAUAAUCCUACUCAAGUUUGUCACUUUAAUUGAAAAAAUUCUUUAACCCACAAUACAUCAUACAUAUCUUUAUUGGGGGUAGAAAAGGGGUGUGACAGCUCUGGCGACUCUGCUGAGGACUUAUAAGAAUUCGAGCUUGUACAUUGAUUAAUUUUUGGCUUUUAUUAAUUUUAAAUAUUACUGUGUAUGUGAGCCUAAUGUGCUAAUUGUCGCUCAUUUACUGCUUUGAUAUUGUUUUAAUUAUAUAUAUAAACUAUCUUCUCUCUUACCCCAUCUGAGUCUUCUGAUAAGUAAUAGUGUUGUAUGUGCUGACCAUCUCCACAAAAUUUUCUGUCUGAGAUAAAGCCAGUGUGCAGACCUGCUCCUGGUGAAGGAUUUAGUCACACAUGUUUAGGCGGGGAGAACCACUAGUAAAGCUGGAAUCAUUCUAUGGCUGGCACGCUGACGCUCCUCAUCUUGGGUUGUCCGCCCGAGUAAGCCAUGUCUAGAUACCUUCUCCUGUAAGAUUUAAAAACCUAGAAGAACAAGCCACAUGUCUGGUUAUCCCUAGUAGGAUCAUUUUAUUGCAACAUUCAACUUAGCGAAGGUCGACAUAGGGGUCAGACUCGUAUAGGACAAAUAUCCUUUUUGAGACCACCAUGUUCACUUAUGUGCUACUUGUUACAUCAUUUGGAAGGCUUGUUUGCAUGGUUGACUGGCUUUAAAAAAAAUUAGAGCGGAGUUAUAAAAAAAAUCAUCAUUCCCCCCGGGCUUGGUACAAAUACCCAACUUUUACUAAUAUUUUGGAAGUGGUUCGGUGUAAAGUUGUAAAAAAAAAAUUAUAAUCAAAAUUUUCAAAUUGGUCAACUUUUUUUGUGUAUUGGUUUGAACUAUACGGGUUCUCACAAAUCCAAUGUGAUACGUAGGCAACCUCUAUCGGGUUCGGCCUCUAUUUUUGCAAAAGUUUUUGAAAACUUAGUGUGUCCAUAAUAUUUUUCAAUAAUAAUAAUAAUAAUAAUAAUAAAUAAAUAAAUAAUCGAAAAUUUUGUCGUUUUUGUCAUUUUGUCAUUAUAUCUGAUUAUUUUUUCCAAUACAUCCCUAAUAUCUUUCUCAAAAUUACCAAAUGGUUGUUUUCGAAUAAAUAGCCAUUUUCUCCUUUGCGGUAAUUUUUAUUGUUUUGUCCCUAUGUCUGGUCCUUUUUACCGAGAUAGUCUUAAAUCUUCCACGGAAGUGCUGAAAGGCUAUUUUUGUAAAAUUAACAAUUUCAUCUGUUUUUGUCUGCCUUUUACUUUGUUGCCUUUAUAUUCGACGUUUUUGCCGAGAUAGCCUUAAACCUUUUACGAAAGUACUGAAAGAUUGUUUUCAUAAAAAUAACCAUCAUAUCUAGUUUUGUCUGAUCAUAUUUGUCGAGACAGUCUUCAAACCUCUCUGCAGAAGCGUCGAAGGGUUGUAUUCGUAAAAUAGCUAACAUUCUACCAUUUCCCCCAUGACGAAUCAUUUUAUCGAAAUGGCCUUAAAACCUUCCUCGGAAACGUCCAAGGGCCAUUUUUAAAAAUGGCUAUUUUGCUCGUUUUUCGAACACCUUUUACCAAUUGGUCCUUGUUUUUGGCCGUUUUUUCCGGGACAAUCUUUAAACCUCCACUGGAAGGGUCGAGGAGCUAUUUUCGCAAAAUAUUCAUUUUGUUUAUUUAGUUUCAUAUUUUUGCUUUGUAGCCCUUAUUUUCGGCCAUCUUUGUUGAGUCAACCUUAAAAUUUUUUAUGAAGUAUCAAAUGGCUGUUUUCGUAAAAGAAUAAAUUUUUGUCUGUUUUUACCCGUUUAUCCAUGUGUCCGGAUGUUUUUGCCGAGACAGCCUUAGUACUUUCCUUCAAAGUACUGAAUAGUCGUUUUCAUAAGAAUAACCAUCUUGUCCCUUUUGUCAUCUUUUAUCAUUUGUCUCUCGACCAACCGGGUUUAUCAUGUCUUGUUCCUCGGUGAGAUACGUGGUUAGUCGUUCUUGAGUCUGGUCCGUUUCAUCCAAAUCUGGCAUAUCAAUCAAGUCUGAUAAGUUGGGUCUUAGUUGACUGAUCCUUCAAUACGCGGAAUUCUUCCCUGAGAAGUUCGUUCAUUGUCUUAUCCACAAGUCUGCUUGGUGUCAUUUCUUCGAGUUUAUAUUAGGACUUGACCUCACAUUUUUAUUUAUCCAGGUAAGAUAUGAAUUCAAUAAGUGGAAGACAUGAUAAAAAGCCAAAGGAAGAUGAGCCCUUACAGAUUUGGCUUGUGCAUAAAACACCCCGGUUGCUGAGGCAAUGGUGGAAAAAUAUGGGCGUUUGUGAGCAGGAAAAGAUAAAGGACCAUCUAGGUCACUUUGUGAAUAUUAUGGAGAUCAAACCAUGGCGGGACUUAAUCAAGGCGUUGCUGCAUUUCUGGGAUCUUAAUAACAAUAUGUUCCAUUUUAAUGGUUUCGAAAUGAGUCCCACUUUGGAGGAGUUAGCUGGAUACAUAAAGUUAGGAGAUGAGCUUCUGAAGAAGAGACCCUUGGCCCCAAGGGAUGUCCCUGGCAGUAAGUUCUUUGAGCAGAUGACAAUCAACCAAAAUAAAAUAGCAAAUGUGGAAUGAGGGCACAUUCGAUUAGAUGUCUUGUAUGACAGGUAUGAGUGUCCGGGUGGAUUUUCAAAGCACGGGAAAAAGCUUGAUAAUAAAACUGGAUACAAAGCUUGACAAAGCCAUGAGCGAAGAGCAUUCUUAGUGGCAUUUCUAGGGACGAUGUAUUUCCUGAGGCAUGACAAAAUUUUUGAUAUUUGAUUAUAUGGAAUAGUCACCAAUUUAUUGCAUGGAAAGGAUGUCACUAUCAUUCUUAUGGUAUUGUCGGAUAUUUACCGUGCCCUAACCAAAUGUUAGAAAGGAGAAGAUUUCUUUGAGGGCUGUAACAUCAUACUCUAGAUAUGGUUUUUAGAGCACCUUCUCCUUCAUCCCGUGCGGGUAAAUUUUAGCGUUCGUUGGUGCAACAAUGAGCUCGAAGAUAGGUCUAAAGUUUUGACCGAAGAUAGUAGCUUCCCCAAGGGCGUCGAAGCAUGGAGAGGGUAUUUUCAAAAGUUGACCGCUACUGGAAUCACAUGGAAAUACCACGCGUUCUCACUAAAAGAGGUCAUAUACAGGUCUUACCACCAUUCGUUUUUUAUUUUGAUGGGUCUUCGGGGUUUUCAGCCGUAUGUGCCUAUGAGAGCUCUACGCUAAUUAGGUCGAAAACAAGUAGUGCCCACAGUGGAGCACAUGCAAAGAUUCAUGUGGGAGGUAACAUCGGAGGUCCUGUUCGUGAGGCUUAUGCUCAGCAGGUUUGGGAUGAAUUUAAGGUGCUUGAAUUUCAUACUAUGGUAGAAGAUCAGGAUCGAGGAGAGUUAGACCCCCAUAUUUUGGGUAGUUCUAUGACCAAGAUGCUUUUGGAUCUAGGCAAGAGACAGUUCUAAAGAGCACGACAGAAUGAGAGACUGAAAUCAGAACAAGAGUGGGGCAGGCCAAGGAGGAAAUAUCAAGAGAUUAUGAAUCCAUCAUCCAAGAACUAUGUAGGGAUAUAAGUAUUGCCAACGUGAAUAGGGAUUUGCAGUAUAUUGAGUUUAAAGAGGAGAAAACCAGAUUAAUACAUGAGGUUCAAGCGCUUCAAGCACAACUUCAACAAGCGAGAAUAGAGGCCGCUACUCAGCAACAAACGGCCAUUCCAAAUCAUGAAGAAAUGUAUUACAACCUUAUCAUCCAUGAUCUAAGGGCUCGGGCCAGGGCUACAAAAUCAAGUAAGAACCAGCUAGAGAAUGAGAUAGCAAGGGUCCAGAACCAGCUGAAUCUUGCAUUACAAUGUGAGGCGGAUAUAUCAGACAUAUCCAAUAACCAUGAACGACAGAUCCAGUUCUUAAGUCAGAGCUAGGAGCAUGUUAGAAGGAGGGUCUAUGAAGUGGCUACUUAUACCGCCUGAGGGUGUGUGACUUGUCAAGGUUUGACUCGAGAGCAAUUUGCUAUAGUAGCGCCCAACUUUGCACGCCAUAUUGUCACAGACUUGAAGCGCAUAUACCAUGAUAUGGGAGGUCAACCACAAGAAUAAGCACCUUGACUACAAUGAUGUUAGUGGAUUCUCUUACAGAGAUCGAAGUCUUCUUUUAGUUAGCAGUCCACUUUGAUUGUUCAUUUGUUGUCAUCAGCUCUGUAAGAGUCUUUUGGUGUUUCGAGUCUUGUUAUUUGACAUUUAUUUUUUAAGAUUUUUUUGAAUCGAGUCCGUUCUUGUUUAAAUGUUUGUCUUUUUUAGGUUUUAUCUUUAUGUAAGUUUUGUUUUUUGAGUCUUGUAUAAAGAAAAAGAGAAGAAAAAAUUCGAAAAUCAAUGAAAAUGAUUUUGUUUUAGAAAAAUUCAAAAAUGAACCAAAAAGAAGUUGUUUUUGUAAAUUUAAAAAUAAAACAAAACAAAACAAAUGGUCAUGGUCCUUGAACUACGUAAUGAUCUGAUUCAUGCGGCGACAUGAUAUGUAGGCAACCCCCAAACGGUUCGACCAAAAUAUUUUUCAACGGCUCUAAAAUAAGGCGAGGUGUAAAAAAAGGCGAAAAAGAUGAAUAAAUAAGAGUGUCGAUAAGCAGCAACUUUAUAAGCCGGAAUGAAACAUGAAGCCUUCUAAAAACAUGUUAGAGGCGGUGACAAUGUUAGGAGCGUUGCAUAUUUACGUGUGAUUCGUAUUUGUAAAAUGCUUAACCCUAACACGUUUGUUCCUCUUAUAUAGUAAGCUUAAGAUGGUCAAUUUAUGGUGAAAAAACACAUCAUUACUUUACCAGAUCUAAGGGGAAGGUAGCGAUGGUUAACAAUGAUGAAAUCGAGUUGGCCAAUGACGACCCUCAGAGUCAAUCGGUUGAGCAAGAGAUGGAGGAAGUAAGAAGAUUGAAACAUCAACUGACUGAUGUGUAUCAGGCUUGGGUCUCUGGUCAGCCUCCGCCUUAGGGUCCCUCUGAGGGAACUUCCACCAUACCCCAGGAUAUUCAACCAUCGCUCCCUGCAACGAGCGAUCACAUUCUACCACCAGGGUAUGUGCCAAACUACAGCUUCCAUGCCGACCCUGGUUCCUCUAAUGUGCAGCCUCCUGCCGCACCGGUUAGGAACACACCUCUCGUUGUGUCUGGUGCGCCUGUGUAUACAAUUCCGCCACCACCUCCUGUGACGAGGCCAAAUAAUGAGCCACCAUAUCAUGUUUAUGAUGGACAAUACUACUCCCCAAACAUGGCUUUAAUGUCAAGAACCUGUCCACUGAAUGCAAGUCAAUCAAAAUUGUUGAAGGUCUUGUUUGAUGCUGAUGCCCAAAUUCGUAGCUAAGAUGUUGAACUUGAUAAUUGGAAAGCCACUCCCCACUUUGCCGGGAAGGAGUUUUGGUAACUUAUUUUGUCAUAAUCUCUAUCAUCUGGAUUAUUUCGAGGUUGUGAUCCAGAUGUUGUUUGUUUGUCCUGUCAUCAAGCCUCUUUAUCCUUUAAUUAAUAAAAUAUAACUUUUCGCUUUGUGUCAUUUUAAUCCAUUCUGUAUGGUUCUUUUGCAUAUAUAGUUCUUUUCACGCCAAUUUUAGUGACAUGACAUGCAUGCGGAGUUUUCGGCUAGAUUUUAGAAAGACAGUCUAAUCUUGAAUUGAAUCGAGAAAAAAUAGUCAGAGGAUAAACAAGAGGUUGAAGAACUUUGAUAAUAUGCUGGUGUCAUAUGGAACCAAUAUAGUCAUAUCCGUAGAGGUUAAAGAUGUUUAUCUCAAACCUAUCAUGAAUAUCGGCUUAAGGAUAAUUGAAAGUUUUGAAGCCUAGUUGGACUAAUCGAUGAAAGGCUUUUUGGCCACGACCUGCCAUAAUCUAAUCAUAUCAGGAAAGAUGACCCAAAUCUCCAAAGAAGUUGCAUUCCAGGGAAUUUAAAAUUGAUUAGAUGGUACUGAAGUGCAUCAUUUCACAUUAAGGCAAAGACCAAGAAAAGGUGGCUCCAAUUUGUCAAAGGCCAUUUGAUGCGAACAAGAUAUUGACUACGGAGCUAUACAACUAGCAAAACUAAGAAGGCAGUCAUGUCCAUCAAUGCCGAACCUGAGAAGAGAUAGAAUGUUUGGCAUUCUUGAGGCUGGGAGGCCUUUUUUCUGCUAACCAAAUACUUUAUACCCUUCGAUACCCCUUUGAGCCUGUUUUUUUUUCCUGACCCCCCUCUGUUGGAAUCAAGUAUAGAGUAAAAAAAAGAAUCUAAUAUCCAUGCCACUAGAAAAUAGGAGCUAGGACAUUUUGUUUUAUAAAAAAGAGGAAGAAGAGAAGAAACGGAAAAGAGGAAAGAAAGAAAGAAAAAUGAAAAGAAAAACAACAAAGGAAUCUUUCGUGUUAGUUUGAACUAUGUUUGACUUGAUUCCUUUAAAAGAUACAUAGGCAGCUCUACACUAGGGUUUAGUCUAACCAAAUCAAAAAUAAAAAAUUCCCCAGUAUCUGAAACUAGGGCAGAUUUUUUUUAUGUUAUGUUUUUAUGAAGAGUCGAUUCCAAGAGUUGUAAAUAUACGACAUAUCAUCUUGAGUUUAUUUUGAGCCUUAAUAUGACUCUUUCUUUCUACCCUCUCCAAAACCCUUCCAAAUAAAUACCUUCCAAUUAGUCUUUUAUCAUACCAUCGGAAGCACACAAUAAGCAACAAUUGUCACACGACAUAGAACAAUGUCAAGUUGCUCGCACAAAAAGGCAAAAAAAGAAGAAGAAGAAAAAGAAGAAGAAGAUAAUGAAUGAAAAUGAGAGAGUCUUAUUGGUAAAAACCCUCAUGGGAACUGUAAGACGAUGGUAAGUAGAGAUAAAUAAAUGAGAGAGGAUGGUUGGUGAAAAUAUUUCAGGGCACUGCUCGUCAAAAGUGAGUUGUGAUUUGAUGCAAAUGUUUGACAUAAAGAGGCCAACUUUAAAGACGAAAAAGGAACAACAAGAAGAAAAGGUAGAUUGGUUGGACAGAUUCGGCAGCUCAGUCCAAAAUGCAUGUCAUGAUCAUUAAAGUUGGCUACCACAUUCAAAAAAUCUCUUUCUUUCUUUCUUUUCCCCUAAAGUAGCAUUUUUUAGUUAAAUACUGUUCCUUCUCACUUUUACAUCGCGUCAUUGUGUCCAUUUGCAUUAUUAUUUUGAGUCAAACUUUGUUAAAACAAACAAGAAAUGAUUUCAAAAUCUGUUACUAGCUUUCUAACUGUCUAUCCUAUCACAUCAAAGAGGAGAUACCUAGGGAGCAACAUGCACAAUAAGUUGUUGAAGUUAAACAAGAUCCGAGGGUUCAUGCAAAUAGAAGUUCCAAAGAGAAAACUUUGUUGGUCUAUUUGCUUAGAAAUCCAUCAAAGAAAGAGCCACAAAAUUGGUUACCGUUUCCCGAAAGUGCAAAACAAAUGAUGUGGGGCAUACACGACAUUGACAAAGGCACAAACCCAACCGUGAUUUUCUCUGAUAAGCCGAACAAAGUGUUUCGAAGAAAUUGAAAAGGUCGCUAAGCAAGACUUACUUCAUGGGAAAAGUGGAUCGCACCCCAGACAUAAACUGAUACCGGCCACAAUAUAAUCAAAAUUGAUAAAAAAAAAAUCGCCAAAGGGUGUGUGACAUCCGGGUACGAAAUAGUCGGGGGCAACGAUAGAAAGCCAAGGUCUUCAUAAAUUAAUACAGAUUAUCCGAGCAACUCAGUACCGCACUGAAAGAAUCAAUUCUUCCUCAGAAGGUCACCGCGAAUUUAGACUACUCAGGACCUCAAGGCCACAAACCGACCACCACUUUGAAAACUCACAAAUCUUUCUUUGUUUGAAGCAUGAAACAAAGUAGUGUAGAAAUGAAGUUUUCAGAGGAGGAAUGUCACCAAAGGUAAAUUCUUCAAAGUUUGUGCUUUUUCUUUCUAGAUAUGCCUAUAAUCACAUAAUCGACCACUGCAUUUUCCAGCAUAAGGUACAACAGUCCUUAGUUGAGGUUACAUUUUGACAUAGAGCACACCACUCCCUAGUCUCAUCUUUAGUAUAGGGUACACCAAUCCAUAGCUGAAACCAUAAGGUACAACAAUCUUUAGUGAGAUUCCAUUUUCAUACAAGGUAUCUUAUCCCCUGGUUACUUUAUCUCUAAGUGAUACAAGGCGUCAUCCCUUGGUUACAUUCUCUUAGCGAUAAAGGGUGCCAAUCCCUAGCCAUAUUCUCUCUUAGUAAUACAGGGUGACAACCCCUAGUUACAUUCCUUAUCGCUAAUACAGGGCGUCAACCCUUGAUUAUAUUCCCUCUUAGUGAUACAAGGUGCAAACCCCUGGUUAUAUUCUUUCUUAGUGAUAUAGGGCACCAACCCCUGGUUAUAUUCUUUCUAAUUGAUACAGGGCGCCAACCACUGGUUACAUUCCCUCCAAGUCUUUCAACCUCAGUCGUAGGAUACACACUUUCUAGUUUGAGUUAUUAAAUAGGAAACGAACUUCCUAAUCAGAACUAUCAAUCCUAGGAGACGCAUUUCCUAGUCCAAGCCUUUCCACCUCAAUCGUUGGAGACGCACUUCCUAGUUUGCGUUAUUCCAAUGGGAAACGCACUUCCCAAUCUGAACCAUCAAUCCUAGGAGACGCACUUUCUAGUCCAAGCCCUUCAACCUCAUUCGUAGGAGACACACUUCCUAGUUUGAGUCAUUCUAUUGGGAGACGCACUUCCUAAUCUGAAUCAUCAAUCCUAGGAGACACAUUUCCUAGUCCAAGCCUUUCAACCUCACUCGUAGGAGAUGCAAUUCCUAGUUUGAGUCUUUCCAAUAGGAGACACACUUCCUACUCUAAACCAUCAAUCCUAGGAGACACACUUCCUAGUCUAAGACUUUCAACCUCACUCGUAGGAGACGCACUUCCUAAUUUGAGUCAUUUUAAUAGGAGACUCACUUCCUACUCUGAACCAUCAAUCCUAGGAGAGGCACUUCUUAAAUCCAUAUCUUUAUUCCAAUAGGAGACGCACUUCCUAAUCUGAAUCAUUAAUCCUAGGAGAUGCACUUCCUAGUCCAAGUCUUUCAACCUCAUUCCCAGGAGAUACACUUCCUAGUCCAAGCCCUUCAACCUCACCCGUAGGAGACACACUUCCUAGUUUGAGUUAUUCCAAUAGGAGACGCACUUCCUAAUUUGAACCAUUAAUCCUAGAAGACGCACUUCCUAGUCUAAGUCCUUCAACCUCACUCGUAGAAGACGCACUUCCUAGUUUGAGUUAUUCCAAUAGGAGACUCACUACCUAAUCUGAACUAUCAAUCUUAGGAGAUGCACUUUCUAGUCCAAGUCUUUCAAUCUUAUUCCUAGGAGAUACACUUCCUAGUUUGAGUCAUUCUAAUAGGAGACACACUUACUAAUCUAAACCUUUAUUCCUAAGAGAAGCACCUCCUAGUCCAAGUCCCUUAACCUCACUCCUAGGCGACACACUUCCUAGCUUGAGUCAACUCUAUUCAUCCUAUUAGGAGACACACUUCCUAAUAUGAAUCAUUAAUCCUAGGAGACGCAAUUUUUAGUUCGAGUCCUUUAACCUCGUAGUCAUUCCAAUGCUACCCAUGGGAAAUGCACCUCCUAGUUUAAGUUUAUCAAUUCUACUCUUAAGAGAAGCACAUUCGAUUCAGAGUCUUCAGUAUCUUUUUUUGCAUCUUUCAAAUAAAAUAAAGCUGAUUUGCAGUGUUACCCAAAACUCACAAAAUUUUCUCAGUACCAAGAUAGGGCAGAAAAUUUUGUUUGUUUUGUUUGACUUUGAUGGCUUUGCAGGCCCCGCCAUAGAGCACAUGUUGUGAUGAUCAAAGCUUGUAGUUUUAGUUAUCAUUAGAAGAAAAAGGUCUUUUGAUCACAAGAUAGUUGGAGUUAACUUUGACAAUCUGUUAGUAACCCAGCUUCAGAAGAUUUAUCAUCUCAAUUUCGGAUCAGGAAAGCAAGCAAUUCAGAUUGAGUCAUAAUCUUUUCUUCAAAGAGUAUCAAGAUCCAAACUAAGGUCAACAAAAACGUGCAAGUCAAGAAUCAAGAUUUGACUCUAGAAGACACAGAUAAGAAUUUUGUAACUUUUUAGUUUGUAGUAAUAUGUAGUUCUCUUCUCUUUUUCUUUUAAUGUAAGCAACAAGUAAUUGUAACAACAAUAAUAACAACAGUAGAAGUCUUAACUCUAGUGUCGGUAGUCUCAGCUACUAAAAUUUUUCCAGAACUAUACUGACCUGAUUCCUUUAUAGCUAAGGAUAUGUAGGCAACCUCGGAAUCAAGGUUCGAUCACCUUUUUCACAAAAAAUGCUUUCAUUGUAGUGAUGUACGAGCAAAAAUUAGUCAUAGCAUUCACUUUUCUUUGCACAAAAACUCUUCAUGUUCUCGAGCAAAGAGAGGCAGCUGUGAAUAACUAAUUUUUGCUCGCUUCAAAUUCUCCUACAAAUAUUAAUUUUUGGAUGAUUUUUAGUUAUUUGUGCAUUUUUAUUUGCCUUCCUUUAUUAAAUAUAUAAAAAUAUUUUUUACCUUUUAUUUGUAUAUUUUAGUUUGCAUCUUUAAAUUAUAUAUACCAAAAAGAUUUUCUUUCUACUUGUAUAUUUUCUUUAGGACUAAAUAAGAUAAUUAGGGGUUAAGGGAUUGGGCUACUGUAUUUUAAUUGAAAUUGAGCCAAAAUUGGCCCAAAAUCAGAAGCCCAUAGAGCCACAAAUUCGGUCCAAAUGGGGCUGCCAGAGGAGGGUCCGAACGACAUAGUUUUAUAUCGAAACUACGUCAUUUUGGUUAAAUAUUCAAGAUCAAAUCCUGGCCACUUAUUUUGUGCAAAAUCAAUCUCAUAUGACGUAUAUAAAGCUCUAAUAAUCAGAAUUUUUGGCCUCAUUUUCACGUAACACAAACCCUAGCCCCCUCUCUUCUCUCCCACUCCUCCUCUGCCGCUGCCCCCGCCUUCUCCAUGGCGGCACCACCACCUGCCGCCGUCCAAACACUCCCAAAACUUCACCCAACCAUCCCUCUCUUCACCUUUUACCUGAAUCCAAACCCCAUAUCUCUCAAAUCCCUCUCAAUCCUCUCAAGUCUACUCCAAAACCGAACUCUAGCCGCCGCCUAUUUUCUCGAAUUAGACGAACUCUGGCCAUCCCUACACUUUAAUUCUUUCAUCACCGGAUAGAUCUCUUAAAGAUCUAUCAAUCCCCCUUUGGUUUCACGGCCGAACUCCGACGACCAAAAUUCCGGCGACCAUCACUUCCAUACCACCAUUACUACUUGAAAUUGCCUUCUUUUUGAGUCAUUAAGCUUGAGACAUUGUGCGCUCUUCAAUAAGUUGGCUAUUUUUUGUUAUAUCGAUUGGAGAUGGCACAACAUCCCAAGUUUGGUGGCUGCCCGUUUGUUAUUCCGGCAAGCCGAUUGAUUCUCCAAGACUCGUGUAUUCAGUAAACCCUGUCUCCUUUUUUCUUUUUCUGAUUUUUCGAUUUUGUAACUUGUAUCAGGUUUAAGGCUUAAUUUUUUAUUCAUGUUUCUGUUAGUUAUGUAUAAAUGAAUGAUGAUCAUAUAAGUUUUGAAUUACCUAUUACUUCAUAACUUUGAAUCAUAUUUUAGCUCAGGUUUUGUUAAAUUCCGUUUUCACAAUAAUUGUGAUUGUAGUCGUUCACUAUUUUUAUACUUGAACCAGCUUAUAUCAAUCUAGUUUGUUUGAGUGUUGCUUUAUCAAUCCAUAGUUUGUUGAGUUUGAAGUUUUGAGUUUUGAAUUCAGUUAUUUGUUGAUAAAGUCAGGGGUACUUGAGUGUAGGGCCCAUGUUUGGUUGCUUUUAGUGUUUUAAUAGCUAUUUUGAGUACACUGUUCCAAACACUACACACAGUUGGUAAAGCAAUUGUUCUUUAGACAGAUUUUUGACCAAAAAUCUGUCCAUUGAACUGUUGGGACAGAUUUUUGGUGGAAAAUCUAUCCUUGAAUAUAGGUUGUCAAUAAUAAUUGAAUGCCACCCUCUCCUAUGAAAGGAGAGGUCUUUCUUUCAAUUAAGUUGCAGAUUUUUCAGACACUCUUAACACACUUAGACAUCACCUUCUACACUCUAAAAAGGCACACAAACUUCAGAAGAGAUCACCUGAACAUACAUAAUAGUAAGCUGAAAAUUCUGAACUUCGUGAGUGCUUCCUAGAGUGUAAAACUUGUAAGAAAAUAAAGGAAUCCUAGGUGAUUGCUGGGGAAGUAGCUACUGGUUUCAAAUACUUUUUUGUUGGAUUUUUCUGGGUUGUUUCUCGGGUCAUAAGUUGUUGAUUUUGCUACUGUUGCGUUGCUAUUUGUUGCUGAAAUUUAGUUCCUCCCUUGCUGACAUUUUCUUUCUGCUAUCCAGGUAAUUCUCUUAAAGUGCUACAGUAAUUUUGAGUCAAGAAUGAAUGGAGACGAACCAAUUUGAGUUCUCUUCAGUUUGUUCUAAGCUUUUAAAGCAUUCUGUUUUUUUGUAAGGUUUUGUGUGUGAGCAUAUAUAAUAAAUAGUUGCUUUGUUAUUGUGACUCACUGUCACCUUUGUUUUUUUUUUUUUUUUGUUUGUUUUUUGUAAAAAAUCGCCAACAAAACAGCAAUGUACUGAUAUAGGUUCAAAUGUUUAAGUUUCUGUCUCAAUUUUUAAUAUCAUAAAUUUAGUUAAAUGUAUAAGGUAUUUCCAUGAAAACAACAUGUUAACUUGCCUUUUCUUUCCUUGGUUUUAAACAUGGAGUAAAUAUUAUAGGUAUCAAUUAGUUUUUCUUUGUGGUUACAUGACAAAUGAAAUCUGUGGUGUUGUUAUGUAUUUUAUUUCUUUGUCUCAGCCCGUAGUUGAGCUUAAAUUAGGUGCUCUGCUUUAUUGGUUUUGAAAAGGUUUCUAUUUUCAUGUAGAGCAGUUUUGAUAAUGAAUUGGCAUAUAGAUUCAUGUUACUCAUUUCAAGAGAAUAGCAAUCCAUGGUCAUACAUCUAGCAGAUAAUAGUAUUUUUUUUGGGUUGAUGUUUUAAAUUAAUUGAAAUAUUGUUCCAUUAAAAUAAAAUAAAAUUGAAUCUUGUAUUUGGGUCUCUAUUUCAACGUUAUUUAGCUAGCCAAAGUUAAGCUUCAGAGAUUAAAAUUUGUUAUUAUGAUGACGGUUCCCUGUUCUUCAAGUGCAAUUCUUAAGAGUAGAGUAAACUUUCCUAUUUAAGUAAGUUUUCGUAUUUAAGUAAUUUUUCUUUCAUUUCCUUAUGGUUUAAUCAUUGGCAUUAAAUGACGUUCUUGAACAAAAAUUCAUUUGAUUUGGUUGAUUUUUUUAAAUAAUAUCAAAGCUUCAAAAGGCGAUCGUUUCAUGGCAGUAAGUCAAUUAGUCUGGGUUUAAUAAUUUAGUAGAAAUAAAGGUGAUAAAUAAAGUCCAAUAUCAAUCAUAUUCGUAUGUUGUCCUACCACCAUUAACUUAUAAAGAGGCAUUUUCUUUUCAUAAUACAGAUAAACAAUUAUUUUUCCGUAAUCUAACCCCUAUAGUAAUUUGUCUUAACUAAGGUAAAUAAUUUCGUUUUAACUGAUGUCGGGAAGACUCGCUUCAGAAUAAAAAUAUAAAUAAAUGGCAAGGUCGUGAGGACAUCUUGUUCCAAUUCUUUCAAGUAAAUAAAACUUUUGUUAUUUAAUUAACUUCGAGUAGACUCCAAUUUUGGAUACGACGCACGAACUAAGGUUUGGGAUACUCAUCUUGGUUAGUGUAAGCUAGGGUCGGGGAUACUUGUCUUAGUUUGAGAUUAAUAAAGUCAUCAACAAUAAAAGUGGACAUAUGCAAACAUGAAAAUCAAAUAAAGCACAAUUUAUCCAAAAUUAAUUCAAGCCAAUUUUAGUCAAUAAAAGUGACCGUGCUAGAACUACGGGAUUCGGAGAAUGCUUUACACCUUCUUCCCGGUCAACAGAAUUCAUUACCCGGAUUUUGUUUUCGCAGACCAAUAAUAAUAGAGUCAAACCUUCCUUUGACUAGGGAUUCAAAAUAAAAAGUGACUUGGAACACCCAAAAAUUAAUUCCAAGUGGCGUCUCUGAACAAUAAAAUAAUCCCUACUCAAAUUUGUCACUUUAAUUGAAAAAAAUCUUUAACCCACAAUUCAUCGUACAUAUCUUUAUUGGGGGGUAGAAAUGGGGUGUGACAAACAUGUUACAAGUUUAUAGAAUUUUCUUACUUGCCAAUUUGUAAAUAAGCUAAAACAAUGACACAUGACUCGACUUUAGUGAUAUACGAUGUUUUGGUAUAAAUUGCACGGGGCGCCCUAUUUGGUCGCCCCCAUUUAACCUAUACCUAUUUUUUAAAAAGUUUUAACUUGUACCCACUUUUAAAACAAUUUCAGCCCCCUUUCUCCCCCUCUUUCUCCAAUACUCGCACCAUUAUAGAAAACCAGCUUUGCCAUGGGAAACAAAGGCUUCUCCAAUACUCGUACCAUUAUAGAAAAAAUAAACACUGCUGUCUCUGUACUUGUAAGGUCCAAAAUUGGUGUUCUUGACACCAAAUUCAGCAUUUAUUGUAAUGUUGAAUGAAGAGUUUUCUGCAUUUUUAGACAACACAUCAAAGGUAGCGGACUGGACGUGAAACUUGGGAGUUCUGACUUUCAUUAUGUACAAUGAAGAGAGGAGAGUGAUUGCAAUUUGAAACAGAGUAGAGAGUGCAACAAAAAUUAAGAAUUUCUUGCGUUUCUUUUUGCUCAGCUCUUUGGAUUGUAUGGAGUUGGCUGAUUCUUCAGCUUGCUUUGCAUGUCCGUUAAUCUGAAGUUGAUGUUCCCCUUUCUACUGCCAUUUAGUUUCAAGUCAAAUUUUAUUUCAAAAAUUUCAGCUUAUGUAGUGCUGAAGUUUUUACAAAUGAACUAAAUAACUUCAGCAUCUUCUGCUGAAGUUUUUGAAAAAGCUUAUCCAGAACAAAAAAACUUUAGCGUUUUUAGUGUUGAAGUUUUUACAAAUGAACUAAGUAACUUCAGCAUCACAAAACUCAGCUACUAGAAUGCUUAAGCUCAGCAAAUAGAAAAUAAAACUUCUUUACUAGAAUGCUUAAGUUCAACAAUUAUAACAAAAACAAGUUAAUCAAAUAGAGAACAAAACUUCAGUACUAGAAUGCUUAAGUUCAGCAAAUAGAGAACAAAACUUCAGCACUAGAAUGCUUAAGUUCAGCAAUUACAAACAAAAACUUCAACACACUUGGUCUACUUCAGACCCGGCUACUAAAAUGCUGAAGUUUUGCGUGAUUACCUUUGCUACUUCAGCCCCGUAUGCUGAAGUACCGCGAAAAAGUGAGUAUGAUUGCAAUUUUUUUUGUAAAGCGGGCACAAGUUAAAACAUGACCCAAAAAAUAGGUAUAGAUGCAAAUCCUCUGAUGUUUUGUCUAACACAAAAGGAAAAUUAAAGGUGACAAAGGGUCGGGGCCGUUCCGCGCCGAUCUUGGCAAAAAACAACAUGGCCGGUCUUCGUACCGAAAUGAUUAUCGGGCUGCAUAUAUCGAUCCUAACCGGUCCCAAUCACAGCCAGUUAAAAUAUGGAUCAAAAUGACACCAAACUAAAAAUACCGGGCCUAUAUAUAUACAAGUCUAUUAUAUUUACAAAAAUAUUUCGCUAUAAGUAUUUUGUUUUAAUAUUUUAUAAUUUCUUACUUAGCUUUUUAUAAUUCAUUUAGUUUAAGAUCAUAAAAAUAGUACGAGUUGCUGACUUUAAAAAACUAGUUGUUGCAAACUUUUAAAAUAUUAGUAGUUGGUAAAUUUAGAAAAUAGUCGUUGCCAACAUAAAUUAACUUUUUUUAAAUAAAAAAAUUCACGUGGGGCCCAUAUCCCGUCUCGUCCCUUCCCCUCCCGUUAGUUAAUAGAACAGGACGGGCCUAACGAGUUGUUCCAUUUACACCAUUGGACAACCAUAGUUAGGCUCAACAUAUUCUCAAUUUCACAUAUGAGCUUAGCAAUACGAAAAACUAAGUAUAUGGAUUAUUAUAUUUAAUAUUCUGCACAAGCAUAACAAGUACAUUUUGAUAUGAAUGCGAAAUAGCUAGGGCUUUUUACAGAAUCUAUACUUCACAUUGAUGACUUAGAAGUUUAUUAUCUCUUCGAACAAAGAGUUAAAUCUGAUUUCAAGGUAAAAUUUGACUCGCUACUUGUUUUUGGAAGCUGUUAGAGUUAGCAAAAUAUUUAGCGACUAUUAUUCAGUAUUUGUAUAUGGUAAAAAUCGGUGGUCCAAUUUUAUGAUCAUUAAGGCGCCUCGUAAAGAUUGCCCCCAGAAGGCUCGAAGCUCAGCCUGGGGUUUCAACCCCGAGGUUCUCAAUGAUCGACCUCGAGGCAGUGUAACUUAGUGGCUACAGUGGAUCGAUGUGAGGUUCCCAAGGCACGUGACUAGAGCUGACAAAGUCUAUUUGGCUAGUUCAAGCCCAUACCGUGACAUUAAAUGGCUGUACCAGCUAUCUAUCUUGGUAAUAAAUGCAUUUGUACUAUUUUGGGAUUCCCCCUUCAUAUAUAAAUUGGACCCUUGUCAUUUUGUAAGAAUAGAUACUACACACCACAUUCAAUACAAGAACAUUCUCUUUGUUCUCUAACUUGGACUCACUGUCUUGAUACUUACAUUUAUUGCUUAUAUUCAUUGUGUUCUAUUUAUUGUUCUUCAUUUUAUUGCUCAUUAUUGGUCAUAAAGAGCCGCAAUCAAAUUUGUCAUAAUUGUUAGUCCCCCAUCAACUGCCCUUAGCCAGGCAUCCGACUCGAUCUCGAAGCCCCGUAUAUGCAAGUUUGCGGCCCCGAUUCCCAACCAUUCAGUUUGAUUAUUACACUAUCUACAAGUUAUUAUAUUAUUUUCUAAUCCUUCACUUAGCAUCUAUUCCCUAACAACUAGCAUAAAAUAGAUCACAUAUUUUUAGAACCACAAAAUCAAAUCUAAUUAUUAUCAUUUUCAAAGUAAACAGUUUGGCGCCCACCGUGGGUCUAAAAAUAAUAGUGAUUAUUUUCUUGAUGGUUUACUACAUAACACGAGUUAUCUUUCACGUUUUUCCUUGUCCAAGAAUCUUUGAUUUCAGGUCAAAAAUGUCUAACUCAGUGAAUGCGUAUGAAAACAACGGUCUUGAGGACGAUGGAGAAAAUGGUGUAGCUGUUCCAGGUAUUGGCGAACCAUCACUGAACCCUGAAGGUGUGCCAGAGCAAAUCUCUGCGGAUGUGGUCUCACGUGAUGCCCAACACAUCGAUAUAAGCUCCCACACUAACAGGAGCAUACACCAAAGAGACCAACAAGAAGCUCAGAAAAUCCUAGCUAGGGAAUAAGGAGAGGUUAGCCUUCACGUUAUUUUUGAAAUGUUACAGGCACAAUAGCUGGCAAUUGCUCAGCUAGAAAGCCACCAGAAAACUCCCAGUACGGUAGCAUCGGAAACGGCUCCCCAAGCCGAGCAGGCACUAGAAAUAUCAAACAACAACGAGUCGGCAACCGACCCCGCCAUCAUAAAGAUGUUCGAGGACCUCACAAAGAGGAUCGAGUGAGGCGAGAAGAAGAUAGAAGCCAAUGACAAGAAGGUGGAAACCUACAAUUCUAGGGUCGAUCAAAUUCCAGGCGCACCCCCAAUCUUGAAGGGUGUAGAUUCAAAGAAGUUCGCACAAAAAUCGUUCCCACAGGAAGCGGCCCCAAAACCCAUUCCAAAGAAGUUCAGAAUGCCCGACCUUCCGAAGUACAAUGGAACCUCGGACCCUAACGAGCACGUCACUGCUUACACUUGUGCAGUAAAGGGCAAAGACCUGAAGGACGACGAGAUCAAAUCCUUCCUACUAAAAACGUUCAGAGAGAUGCUUUCAAAGGGGCUAUGAUGUGGUAUCACAACCUGGCCCCAAACUUGAUAGAUUCAUUUGCCAUGUUGGCAGAUUCCUUCAUAAAGGCACAUGCUGGUGCCAUCAAGGUAGCUACAAGGAAAUCCGACGUUUUCAAAAUCAAGCAAAGGGAGAACGAAAUGUUGUGAGAGUUUGUAUAUCGGUUUCAAAUGGAAUGAAUGGAACUACCACUAGUCUCCGAUGACUGGGCAGUGCGGGCCUUCACUCAAGGUUUGAAUGAAUGAAGCUCGGUAGCUUCGAAGCAGCUGAAGCAGAACUUAGUCGAAUAUCCCGCCGUGACUUGGUCAUAUGUCCACAACCGAUACCAAUUAAAGAUCAGGGUCAAAGACGACCAACUAGGAGUCCCCUCGGGAUCGGUAUAUCCUAGAAGGCUUCCGGCAAAGGAGCCAAAACCAAACAAAGAAAGAUACCAACCAUACACUGAGGAUAGAAGGAAUGCCCCGAGGCACAACAUACCCUACAAUGAUCGAAGGAUGGAUCGAGGCCAGAAUCCUCGGGGACUUGUUAGCAGAGCUGGAUUCGAUAGGCCCACAGGGCCGACGGAGGCACCUCGCUUGUCGGAAUACAACUUCAACGUCGACAUUUUGGACAUCGUAUUUGCCAUCAGUAAAAUCAGAAACGCCAGGUGACCAAGGCAUGUACAGUCAGAUCCUUCGCAAAUGAACCACAACUUGGCAUGUGAAUUUCACGGCACACACGGUCAUAGGACCGAGGACUGCCGACAACGCCGGGAAGAAGUAGCCCGAUUACUCAGCAAAGGUCACCUCCGAGAAUUCCUUAGCGACCGAGCCAAAAAUCAAUUCUGGGAAAGAGAGACGACCAAGAAGAAUAAAACAGAUGAGCCACAACAUGUCAUCCACAUGAUCUUAGGAGGCAUCGACAAGAACUCAUGGUCAGGAGAACAAAAAUAUCCAUCACCAGGGAAAAGCGAACUCAAGGUUACAUACCUAAGGAUGCUCUCACAUUCAGCGACGAGGAUAUCGAGACCUUGUCCCAUCCUUACAACGGUGCACUGGUAAUCUCUUUUCUUGUAAAUAAAUUUCAAAUUAAAUGUGUACUUGUGGAUCCAGGUAGCUCGGCCAAUAUUAUCAGGUCGAGGGUAGUAUAACGGCUCGGACUUCUUGACUAAAUUGUUCCCACCUCUUGAGGCCUCAACGGGUUCAACAUGGCGAGCGAAACAACGAAAGUGGAAAUCACCCUCCCGCUCAAUGUGGCCGACACUAUCCAAAAUGCCAAAUUCCAUGUCAUCGAAGGAGACAUGAGGUACAACGCAUUGCUUGGAAGGUCGUGGAUACACUGCAUGAGAGCAGUACCAUCCACCCUCCAUUAAAUGAUGAAAUUUACGACAACGGAUGGGAUAAAAACCGUUUACGGGGAACAACAUGCAGCAAAAGAGAUGUUUGCGGUGCACGAUGUGGCACCGGUGCCAAUACCCCCACCGUCAAAGGAGCUAAAGGAUAAGCAAACAAUAAAAUAGAAAUAACAAGCUAUAUUCUCGGCUACACCCGACCAAACAAAGCAAAGGACCAUAUCGCGUCCUCAGAACAAACGAUUAAAACAUAUCGAGGCCCGAAGCGCCAUCAUCACUAAGGUAUGGUCAUCUCUUCUUUUUAGUAGUUACAUUUUAUACUAACCCGAGUGUAGGUAUCCGAUUGAAAUGGCCUAAGCGCUUUCCAAACCGAAGGCCUUAGGUUCCAAAAGCGUACGUUGCACUCUUUUCCUUCGACCGGGUUUUUAUCCCAAGAAGGGUUUUACCGGCAAGGUUUUUAACGAGGCAACAUCCAUAUGCUACCUAAGGAAGACUCAACAAGUAUUCAAGGCUUAUCUUCAAUCAACCUCGAAUACUGGGGGCAUCCUCCCAGAAGGUCACCUCCUCGGAGAAGCCAAAAUGUGUUAAAUGGGGUCUCGAUAGGAAAAUGAUGUACCGGGCCAAACGGUCGAAUGAACCGUGUUCGUAUAGAAUAACCGAACCCUUGACAACAAAAACAUGUAUACUUGUACGAAGUAAUCAAAGAAUACUUUCCCCUCCAUCAAAGCAUUUCGAAGGAGUUCGGUAUUUUUAAAAAAAUGGCUCCAGAGCCAAAAACGUCCCGAACAUUCGGGGACUGAUGUCAAAAAAUCGAAGUCGCAUGACCUCCGAGUCGGAAUCUUUGAACUUGUAAGCAUUUAAUGAGGCAACGUCAAGGUUACAAAAAUGGCUAUAGAAGCCAAGAACGCCCUGAACACUCGGGGACUGGCGUCAAAAACUCGAAACCGUAUGACCCCCGGGUCGGAAGCUUCAAACUUGUAAGCCCUUAAUGAGACAACGUCAAGUCUACAAAAUAGCUCCAGGGCCAACAAAACUUUCAAUUUCCCGGGGACUGCCGAGGCCAUAAGACCCCAUAUGGGCAACCUCAAUCCCGUAAGACCUUUAUAAGGCAACACCAAAACUGUAAGACCUCAAGCAAGGCAUGAACCAUACUUGUACCAGGUAACCAAAACUAUAAGACCUCAAAGACAUGUAAAAAUUAUAAGACGUUACAAAAAGGCAUUAUCCCGAACUUAAAGUUAAGGAUAUAUAUAUUCGAACUUGUAAGACCCCUAAAAAGGCAUACCCUCGAUGUAGACGCCGAAACUACUUCACUCGGGGACUGAAAGGCUCCGGCCAAACACAAUGACUACUAUCACAAGACUGUACUAGCCAAACUAACGUGACUCGGGGAUGCCUGACUGUCAUUGUAAAAUCACAGGCCUUCAAUUACUUUGAAAGUACUUCGAAAAGAACAAGUUAAAUAGGCUACUCUCGACAUAGGCAAAAGAGCUUCGACCAUGUCAGCUCUGAACUAUAGGCUUCGAAACACUCAGCCACCGAGCAAAACCUCCUGAGGUGCUCGUCACCACAUAGCAACUCACAAUCAAGGUUUUUAUCGAACCGUCAAAGAGUCAUGCAAACACAAUUUCAAAAAGUCCUUCACGAGGGAAAAAUAAAGCCUAUACUAGAGGUUGUUGAUACCCAAUUUUUUCCUAUAUAUUUCUAAUAUGAAAAAUACUUUCAAAAUAGCAUAUGUAUGCAUAUAUAAGUAUGUCGAAAUAUUUUAUUAUUUUUUCUUAAUUUUUAAAAAUUUUUAAAAUCAAUUUAUUGCCCUAUUUUAUCCAUAAAAAACCCAAUAAUUAUUCCCAAAAUUAUUAUUUUUGGUGAUUCAUUUAUUGGACUCUCAUAUUUAUACUAAAAUAUAGCUAAUUUGAUUUUUGCAUAUUUUUAUAAAUUUAUUUAGUAUUUUUAAAGCUAAAUUGCAUAUAAUUGCAAUAUUAGCCUCUUUUAGAUUUAAUUACGUUUAUGUCUAUAAAAAUCAGGUCCAAUAUUUUUAAUUUGAUAUUAUGUACUAUUAAUUAUUUAAGUACCUUUAAUUUAUUUUCAGAAAUUAUUUUAUUAUUUUUUAUAAAUCAAAUAGGGAAAAGUGGCUAUUUAAAUGCUAGCCUCAUUUUGUUUCAAUUAUGGCCUGAAUUGAACCCCAAUUUGGAGCCCAAUUACUAGGACCCAAUCUCUAUCUGAACUGACCAAUGACCACUUUUAAACGACCCACCCGGAUUCCCAUUUAAUCCCAACCGUUGAUCGCUUAAAUCAACGACUCACAUUAAACCUUUCCUUUUUUAAUUCCCAACUACCCCUAACCCUAAUCACUUUCCAUCUGCAGCCGCCUUUUAAUUCCCCCUUCUCUCCUAAUUCUCUCUCAAUCUCCCUCUCAAACCCUAGUCACCACCUUCAACCACCACCCUAAAACCGCCUGAAUCAAUGGCUUCCAAAGCCAUUAAAGGCCUGUAUCUACCUCCUAUGACUUCUACCUGCCUGAUUAUCAUGUUUUCAAGGCCGGACUUUGAAGAAGUUUUGGUCCAGACCUGGGCUGAUUUCAGUACUAUGGCUGUCUCCGACCUUGCUCCGGCCAGCCAUGGCUAUUCAAGCCUGAUCUUGACUUCUCUUGCUUAGAUCAAUGACUUUCCAAGCCUUUCUCACUAUCUGGGUUCUUCUGAAACCCUAAAACUUCGAGGUUCUUCCGAUUCUUUUAGAUCCAUUGUAGAUAUAUGUUUACUCUAAACUUUUAAAUAUUUUCUCAAAGUUUCUUUCAAAAUUUUACCUUCAGAACCUUUAUCUUUUCCGAUUUAGGGUUUGGUUAAGUUAUUCAGAAGCUUCUCUGAUCUUUAGCAUGUUCUAUUGUGUUUCUUUAUGUUGUUCUUCUACUGGAGUGUGCAUGAUUAAAAGUCUUAGUUCUUUCUUGAGUUUUUUGAUUUUAUUUUGUUGAUGUUUUUGCCUGAUUUACUUGUUUUUCAUCUCUAUACUUGAGUGAUGGUGAAAACCCUAAAAUUUGGAGUUCAUUCAAGUCCUGAGACUAUUUGCUAUGUGAUUUACUCGUCAUACUCUGAAUACGAUGGGUUUCAAAACCCUGAUUCCUUUGAACCUAUUCAAGUUUCUGAAGUUGCUUCACCUGUUGCUCGACUGAAUUUCAAAAUCUUUGUUUCUUUAUAUGAUUGUGACUUCCUGCUAAACUCUAUAAGGUCUUUUACUUGACCCCCUUUGCAUGCUAUUUGAUACUUUCUCUUUUCUCUAUUACUGAGUUACUAAGAUUGACCUAUGGGACUACUAUGUUCCUAUAGUCCACUACUUACUGACUUUGUGACUGCAUGACGCUUCUCUUUGUCUUAAAUUCAGCCUUGCAUGCCUAAUACUUGUGUACUCUUUUAUAGGUUGAAUUUUCCUAUGAAGUGACCUUCAAUUUUGGGAUUGAUUUUAGACCUCCUUGUGUAAUUUUGAUUGCAUUCAUGUAUUAAGUGAUUGACUCUUUACUUGUUUCGCCUUACUGAUUUUCCUGUUUCUUAGGUUGAUUUGAAAACUUUCCUUAGACUUUCCAUUCUCCUGUUUCUGACUUGGUUUAUUUGUUUGUUCAUGGGAACCCCUGUUAUUCUCCCCAAAUCCGUAAUUUCAAAUUCCUGACUCCUUGAUUUACUAUUUGCCUCUAUAUUCUGCAACUUUACUCUGUUUUCUUACCUUAUUUGGUUAACCGAGUAUUUCAAAGAUUUUUCCCUUAAUUAAACCCCUAUAUAUUUACCCCUAAUUGCCUACUUUGCAUAAGAUGCUUACUUGAUUUCUUUCCUUAAAGGUUUUUUGUCCAUUACCGUUUAAGUUUAAACUUCUUAAUUAAAGGAAGCUCUUAUACUGAUUGAUUUUAAUUGGUACACAAUUUCAUAAUUAUUUUCUUGCCUUAUUUUUCUACCUAUUUUCACACUAUAAAUAUCUUGUUCUUUCAUUAACACACACACGAACACACUUAGUUCUAAAAUCUCUUACACUAAAAACAUUCUCUCCUGCUUUACUACUACUGUGACCCAUUUAGCUGGCUGAAAGCCAAAGCUAUUUUCAAAGUCUUACUACCUGCUUUUACUGUAUUUUACUUCUUUGUACUGGUAUAUUUCGAUUAAAAUUCCAGCAUCACAACAAUGUGUUUACUUAAUACUUUUACCUUCUCAUUUGCCUACUGCUUCUGUUCAGUCCAGUACUUAUUUUAGCAUGCUGUAAUUUUCUUCUACCUGUUUUGAAUCUAUUAUGUAUCCUAAACCCCUACCCCAAUGUAUUUGAUACUGAUGGUUUGUUUGAGGCAUGACAGUAUUAAGUAUUGCUGUCUAUGACUCAAACAUGAUUCCCUCGGGAUCAUAGCCUCUAUGCUACCAUUAUAUGGUUGUGUAUUCUGGUUGAUUUUGUAAGCAUAACAACACUCCCUAUUGCUGUGCAUGCCCUGAAUUAAUAAAGCCUAAGUGUAUAGGCCUUUUGCAAUCCCCAAUCCCUGAACCCCUUUGUGUGAAGUCCUUAAUUCUGUAACUGUUUCCCAGCACCUCUUUCCCUCUUCUUUACUCUGUUUCUUUACAUGCACUCUCUCUUAGACUUAAGAUCUGCCCCCUCUUGUGAGCCUUUCCUUGGGACCCAUGAGCUCCCUCUGAACUUGGACACUUCAGGGCUGACACUUCCACACUGCACUGGUCCCUAUUCUGGUAAUACAAUUUGGGUGUGAUCACUGUCCGGAGUCCCAUUGAGGCUCUUAGGGAACUCUAACACACUUAAAUUGGAGAAAGGCUUUGGAUCACUGAUCUUUGAGUUGGUUUAUCUCGUAACUCAAAGAGGAAGUCGAGAACCAGGCCUCCUCUGGUUGUAAUUUCUUUGUAUUUUUUCUAUUCUGAUGUAAUUCGCUAUUCUGGUUUGUAAUUCGUUGUAAUAAACAUUUGGGGCUAGCUAGUGAAAAGGGUUGGGUAGCUAUGCAUGCAAGGGUAGAAGUCAUGCUUAUAGGAAUGCUUUAAUUUUUGCGUAUUCAGUCACAUAUAGAAAUCAUGCCUAUAGGGUUGUUCUAAUUCUGCACAUUCAACUCCAUAUAGAAACCAUGCUUAUUGGACUAUUUAAUCCUGUAUACUCAACCACAUUUAGAUGCCAUGCCUAUAAGGUUUAAAACAAGCUUCUGCAUUUAGAUACCAUGUCUAUAAGGCUUAAACGAGUCAUGCAUUAUGUCUGAAAUCAGUCACGCAUAGAAAUCAUGCCUAUAUGGUUUCUCGAGUAAUUCUGAUCCGUUCUCAUUUACAACCGACGUUAGAUAUAAAAUCAGUAAUAGUAGAACCUGUAAUAAAUUUGUUUAAAUUCUGCAUCUUUUUGACAAUCUAAGCCCCUCGCUUAAUAAAGUUUAGCAAGCAUGCCUAUAGGGGUCAAACAAUUCAUUUUGAGUUUUACUGUCUUAUCCCAUUCUAAAUUUGGUAGAUAUCAUGCCUAUAGGACCCGUUUAACACUUAGGAAAGCCUUAGAGUAAUAACUAUAAACUGAACCUGCUCUUGUUAAUCAUUACGACCAACAGACAGGCAUGAUUCGGGCUUCUUAUCUGACUUAUGUAAUAAACUAAAACUGCUUCAACAAUCCCCCUUCCCUCGUCUUUAAUACCUUGAAAUCAGACCUAAACAGUAUGUGCAAGUCAUGCUAAUUAUGUGCUUUCUUUGUUUAAGGAGGUAUAUAUGAGCCUUGUUUGUGUAUAUGAUUUCCCCUUGAUAUGCAAUAUGUGUUUUGUAUGUCACCUUAGAAUUUUUUUUACCUUUGAAACUCCAAAUAAGCCUAGCAUCCCCCUCUUUUAGGAUUAGUAGUCCUAGGUGCCUCUGGGACUGAUAGGAAUGUGACGGGUAAUAGCAUGCAAUAAGUAAUCGAGACCAAUCCGCGCUUUAAUACCUUAACGGGGUGGGAAAGGUAGAUAUAGAUAUAAUGACCACGCGAUAAUGUCACGUGUAGCCCUUCAUUGAGGAGUGAUUACCAGAAAUUAUGUGGGGUGAUCCAUAUUUUUUAUAAACCUAGGACCCCCCUUUUCUUUAUUCUUUAUUCUUUUAGCAAUUUAACUCCUUAUUCUAAAAAAUCAGCUUUUCUAAUUGUUCUUUCAAACUUUAUUUACUUUCAAACCAGCAUGUGUUGAAAUUCCCUCUUAUUUGAGCCUUAUUUGCUUAUAUGGUAAUUGCACUCCAAAUUCACAAUAAUUGUUUGGCCGGGAACCACACUAGUGGAUUCUGAGGGGUGCCUAACACCUUCCCCUUGGAAUAAUUUCAAGCCCUUACCCUAUCUCUGGUUGUUCAUAAACUCGGACUCCGCGAGGAAAAAGGGGGCACGACAGCCUGGCGACUCUGCUGGGGAUCUUUAGGCUUUUACCAUUUCAGACUAUUGUUGUGAGUUUAUGCGCAAUUAUUUAUUUAUUUCUUUUAAGCAUUCAAUUUCCUUUUCGAUUGCCAAACUGACUUGUCUUCUUGUUUCUUUCCUUUACUGUUUUCCUUUACUACUGCUUUAAAUUAUGAAACUGUUGUAUUUACUGCUUUCUUAAAUAUGCAAAUACAUGACAACAUGCCUUUAAUUGUUGCAUAAUCAUGUUCGACAUGUUAUUCCACUCGUGCCAAAACAAAUCCUAUAGCAACGCUUAUAAUGAGUAUUUGCGCUCUUCCGAUAUUAUCACCUCCUAAAUCCAGAAAAGACGUAUUUGCGGUAAAACCAGUCGAUUAACGGUGUAGUCGACGGUUCCGUGCCUUUCCCCCUUGAGUUGUCCACUCAAGGGUAUCAGUCUAAAACCCCAUAGAAACCUUACUCUCUUUGAAUUGUGCAUGCAUCAUGGUCAGCCUACCCGAGUAAGUUAUGUUGUCCGCAUAAUGACUCCUUCAGAUAGCCUUGUCCAAAGUCCACUAGGUUUCCCUAAACCCAAACGGACAUUAUCAUGUUCUAUGCAUUUAUUUAGGAGAACUAAAUGCUUUAUGCCAAUUANNNNNNNNNNNNNNNNNNNNNNNNNAUCAGACUCUUGUCCCGAAAAAUAUUUGGGGAAAUCCUAUCUUCCCCUUCUGGAAAUCCAACCCAACAAUAAUAUCAUAGAAGCUGCUACUCUAUUCUGGGAUUGCAAGAGGUCUAUGUUCUGUUUCGGGGAUAUUGAAAUGACCCCCUUGAUAGAAGAAAUAAGAGGAUUGGCUGGUAUACCGUGGGAAACUCCGGGGUCUGUUAAUGCCCGAGAACCGCAAGGGCAGGGGUUUCCUCAAAAUGAUGGGUUUAAAGAAGAAUUCCGGAACUGACAUGUCUGAAAGAAUCCUAUAUCCCUUUUGAUUAUUUGUACGAGAGGUACGGUCACAACAAAUCCUACUGUACCUAUUCAGACGAGUUUGCUAUCACCUCAUUAGGGCAUAUUCACCGAAGGGUCUUUGUUUUCAUGUUCUAUUUCCUGGGUAUGAUCGUGUUUCCAAUGAAGAAAGCAAGGAUCCAUACCAGGCUGGCUAUGGUAACUAAAACUCUGAUGGAGGGCAUUGGGGGGCAGCCAUUUAGUAUUGUGCCCAUGAUCAUUGCGGAAAUAUAUCGAGCCUUGGAAAAGUGACAACGAGGAGCCAAAUACUUUGAGGGAUGCAAUUUGGUACUUCAGCUCUGGUUUAUGGAGCAUCUUCAAAGAGGUGAAUACCGACAAGAGAUCCAGCGAAGAGAAUGGGAUGAUCAUAUCGCUUUCCAUCAUCCGAGGCGAAUGAAUUACAUGCCCAACAUGUUCGCCCAGCCAGAAGACGCCAAGGGAUGGGUAGAGCUGUUCGAAAAUCUAACUGAGGAUUAGGUACAAUGGAUGUUUGAGUGGUUCCCUACCGAGGAAUUCAUCACUCAGUCCAGGGAUGCACCCUUUCUGAUACUGAUCGGUAUGAGAGGAAUAUACCCUUACAUCCCUCUCCAGGUUAUGAGGCAAGGUAGUAGGAAACAGGUUAUACCCAGGGUCGACAAGAUGAGUCAUUUCCGGGCUGACUUUUAGGCUGAUGAUAGUCCUUAUAAGUGCCAAGCUCAGCAUAUGUGGCACUGCAAGAUCAUCAUGGGAAGAGAUACCAUUGAGCCAGACAGAUACCACGCUGGUUGCGCUCCCUACUAUUCGGGCUGUUUGGAAGAUAAUCACGAUGGUCUGGGCCAGCCAGGGUUUGCUAGGGGUCACAGGAUCAUAGAUGAGAGGGCCGAGGCACAAGUUAAAUACAAUCAACUAUGCAAGAGGAUCCGGGAAUGUGAAAGCGAGCACCGUGAGAUACAAGAAGCCAACCAAAAGCUGAUUGGGGAGUGGAAAGACAUGGUUGUUAGUGCCAACAAGCGACCGGAAUACUUGGAGCGAGGCAUAGUGGAGCUAUAAAGGAAGUUUCUUAAGAGGGUCAAGGACUGCCAAAAUGCUGAAGGAAACAAAGCCGGACGUCUAGCCAAAGCCUACCUAUUGCUGGGACUUCGCGAGCUGGGAAAGCUAUUCGACAGAGCCAAGGAUGCCGAGUCUGGGGAGGGUCCUUCUGGGACCAAGUAGACAAGGAUUUUUCUUUUGCUUUAUGAAAUGUAAUAAGGCCAAUGGCCAUUAGUGACUUUAUUUCCUAUUAUUUAAUGUCAAUUUGAGAUUCGUCUAUUUUUUUUUGAUCAAUGAAAUGAGGCAUUUAGCAUUCUGAGUUCUCCAAAUCAACUUGUCGCUAGGCCUACCUCGGGUACAAAGAGGUUCCCAAAUUAGCACGAUUUACAUUCUUGCAUUAUGUGUUUAAACAUUGCCACAUUUUCUUAUAAUCCUCACUAACUUGUUACCUUUUGUUGUUAUUUUUUGUUUUAUUCCCCUCCUCAAAGGUUAGUUCGUGCACUCUGGCAACAUCAUCUUAUUCCACGAGAUCCAGGGGCCCUCCACUCACUCCUCCUCUUAGUCUUGUCAGAAACAAGAACAAAGGAAAAAUGGAAGAUUUGAACAAUGCCAGAAAGGAGAAUUCAACUAAACAGGUAGAGGUCACUCAUGGUCAUGGUACUUUGGUUCCUAAGGAAAGUGCAUCCCAACUUGAACAAAAGCUACUGAAAUUUCAAGAAGAACUUGAUCAGGUUCGGAAUUUGGCGAAUCUGUCAUUUUCCCUCACCACUCCAGAUGUCAAUUUUCCAAAUGCUCAGAACCCUACACCUCCACAAAAUAUCCCUAAAUCAUAAAACCAUCCCUCUCCUCACCACCACUACAACACCUUCCAUACUUCCAACAAUACUCCACUGCUCGUCCCAAAACCCUUGAACUCCACAAAUGACCACUUCCAUACUCAUCACAACACUCCUAUCUACGUGGAGACCAUGCCACACUCCACACGACACAUUUCAAGCACACCCGAGUCUGAUGAUAAAGACUCGCUCAUCAGGAACCUGGCGGAAGAACUUAAGAAAUUGACUAGAUGAAUUCAAGGCGUUGAAGGAAGUAAGGGAAUUGAAGGUCUAAAUUAUGAGGAUCUUUGCAUAUAGCCCGAUGUCGAACUGCCUGAGGGGUUCAAACCUCCGAAGUUCGAAAUGUUUGAUGGUACAGGGGAUCCAAGGGUCCAUUUGAGAACUUACUGUGACAAUUUGGUCGGAGUAGGGAAAGACGAGAGAAUCCGCAUGAAGCUUUUCAUGACAAGUUUGAAAGGAGAUGCUCUGUCUUGGUACAAUAGCUAAGAUCCGAAGAAAUGGUCAAGCUGGGUAGGCAUGGCGUCCGACUUUAUGGACAGGUUCAGGUUCAACACGGGGAAUGCGCCGGAUGUGUUCUACAUUCAAAAUCUAAAGAAGAAACCUACAGAAACAUUCCGCAAGUAUGCUACUCGCUGGAGGUCCGAAGCUGCUAAGGUCAGACCUGCUUUAGAAGAGGAACAAAUGAACAAAUUCUUCGUCCGGGCUCAGGACCAGCAAUAUUAUAAAAGGCUGAUAUUGAUUGAGAGCCAUAAAUUUUCUGACAUUAUCAAGCUGGGUGAAAGGAUUGAAGAGGGCAUCAAAAGCGGUAUGGUUACGAACUUCGAGGCUUAGCAAGCUACCAAUAAGGCCUUAUAGUCUGGUGGUACAUCCAAGAAAAGGGACGUAGGGGCCUUAAUGGUUGCACAGAGAACCGAAUCUCUUAUCAAAUACCAAACCUAUCCAAUGCCUCCAUUCACAUAUCAACCUACUCCAAACUACCAAGCACCCUUACCCUCUUACCAAACUCCACCACCCACUUAUCAAUCACAUCCACCUCCCACAUAUCAGCCUACUUCACCCUGAUAUUCCCAACCUACACAUGUUUACCAAGCCUACAAUGCUCAACCGUCCCACUAUCAAUCGCCUCCUACACGCCAAAACUUCCCUAGACCCCAACCAAAUUUUGACCGCAGACCUCCAAAACAGUAUAAAACCAUUACUGAACCCAUUGACCAGUUGUACGAGAGACUCAAAGCUGCUGGUUAUGUCACCCCUAUCCCUGUUGUAACCCUUGAGGACCCUUCUUAGUGGAUUAAUCCAAACAAAUCCUGUGCAUACCAUUCCGGCAUAAAAGGGCACACCAUCGUUGAAUGUCAUUCCUUGAAGGAAAAGAUCCAGGAUCUGAUUGACAACAAUAUUAUUGUGGCAAAGGAACCUGCUCUAAAUGUAUGCAACAACCCUCUGCCAGACCAUAAGGGUGGAGGCAUUCACAUGAUUGAAAUAGAGGAUGAUUGGGAUCCUGAGGGGUCUAUCGGGUUGAUCACAGAAGGUGAUGACCAAAGGAAGCCGAUAAUUACUCUUAAACCGAUCGUGGUCCAGAUUCAGCUCUCGAGGAACACUGAAAAAAAUAUGUCCGUGCCACUUGAGUUUGAAACCACGUCAUCUACAAAGACACCAAUGCCAAUUGAGGUCGAAUUCGUGUCUCUAGCGAAUGCACCUACGCCAUUCAAAGUUGCAGUUUUUCCUCCCAAGGCCCAUGCUCCAUUCGGAGUAAAGAUAGCAGCGCUGAUCCCCGUAGCGAUGUCGACCAUGACACUAUUCCACACAAAGGCUAUACCAUGGGACUGUACAACUGAGGCAAGGAGGAAAGGCAAGGUUAGGUUCGAGAAAACUAUUGCCGCACAGGGUAUGACAAGAACUUGUAGGUUCUAUACCCCGGAACACCUAGUUGAGUCAAGCAAGCAGGCCUCCAAUCGGUCGCCCAUCAUUGAGACGGGUCCAGACGAUCUUUGGAGAAUGAUACAGGCCAAGGAAUACUCGAUCAUCGACUAGUUGAACAAAACACCGGCACAAAUCUCCAUACUUGCUUUGCUACAAAAUUCUGAGGCACACAAGAAUGCUCUAUUGAAGGUGCUGAGUGAAGCAUACGUGCCAAACAACAUCACUGGCGGGGAAAUGGCCAACAUGGACGGACAGGUAUUGGAAAGUCACAAAAUUACUUUUCUUGAGGAUGAGCUACCGCUUGAAGGGUUAGGACACAACAAAGCGCUGCACAUCACUGUGCAAUGCGAAGGCUACUUCAUCACAAGGAUCCUGAUCGACGGGGGUUCCAGUCUCAACAUCUGUCUACUGGUAACACUCAAGAAGUUGGGAAAGGGGCUGCACGAGGUAAAAUAUGGAGCCAUCAACGUGAAAGCUUUCGACGGUUCCCAAAGGUCCACUAUUAGGGAGAUUAGUCUGUGUUUGCAAAUGGGGCAAACUUGGUUCGAUGUUGAUUUCCAGGUAAUAAACGUGCGAGCAUCUUACAAUAUACUGUUGGGACAGCCAUGGAUUCACGCUGCCGGAGCCGUAGCAUCAACACCGCAUUAGGCGAUAAAGUUUGAAUGGAAUCACUAGGAAGUGAUCAUUCACGGCGAUGGUAGCAAUCCUAUAUACAGUCGCCAGACCAUUCCAUCAAUCGAGGGGAGAAAGAAGCUGGGAGGAGAGACUUACCAUCACAUCGAGUGGGUAAAUGCUAUUGACAAAGACAAAUGAUGGGAUGACAAGAUCGAAAGUAUACUAAACUGGAGUGGGUACGAACCUGGCAAAGGGCUCGGAAAGAACCUCCAAGGAUUCGUCAAGCCCAUAAACUCAAGAAACAUGGCACCACUUUCGGUAUAGGAUAUGAGUACACUUGGGAAGAAUUCAAUAACUGGUCGCCUCUAUGGCGCAGUCUUUACUAUCCACUGGAGCAGCCAAUACCACAUUUGGAGCAGACUUUCCAACCGGUCGAUGUUAUCUAUGGGUCAGAAGAAGAGGAAGCACUGGCAGCUGUGAAAAACUUGUUCUUAUAGGACAAUGACAUGGAUUGUUAUGUUGUUCUCGAGGAGGAGGGGAGGAAGACCCUUCCGUACAGGCUGUAAGAAGAGGAGCACGCCUCAAUAACUAGACCAUUAGGACAACCAGGGCCCGACGAGCCUCGAGGUAGCGAGGCUAAAACAAGCACUGUUUUGAUUUCCUAAAAGAUUUUUUUUU
This 34477-nucleotide long non-coding RNA is filed under the name Nicotiana tabacum (common tobacco). RNAcentral describes it as "long non-coding RNA (NTAB_LNC002791)". The record is from RNAcentral. Lineage: Eukaryota; Viridiplantae; Streptophyta; Magnoliopsida; Solanales; Solanaceae.